UUUCUUUGCUGGCGACCGGCGCACGGGUGAGUAACACGUAUCCAACCUGCCCUUUACUCGGGGAUAGCCUUUCGAAAGAAAGAUUAAUACCCGAUAGCAUAAUGAUUCCGCAUGGUUUCAUUAUUAAAGGAUUCCGGUAAAGGAUGGGGAUGCGUUCCAUUAGGUUGUUGGUGAGGUAACGGCUCACCAAGCCUUCGAUGGAUAGGGGUUCUGAGAGGAAGGUCCCCCACAUUGGAACUGAGACACGGUCCAA
Molecule: ribosomal RNA, 253 nt
Filed under: uncultured bacterium
Lineage: Bacteria
Description: partial 16S ribosomal RNA
Rfam family: Bacterial small subunit ribosomal RNA
Source: RNAcentral